Girardinichthys multiradiatus is the source of this 269-nucleotide long non-coding RNA. RefSeq lists it as uncharacterized. The transcript is spliced from 2 exons. Lineage: Eukaryota; Metazoa; Chordata; Actinopteri; Cyprinodontiformes; Goodeidae. The record is from RefSeq and is a predicted model, not a curated record.
CUUAUUGGAGUGUGGAACUCGCCUUUUGCUGGAGCUUAAGGACUUGUGUAUUUGGAUUCCUCUCCUGGAGACUCUCACUUGGAAACCAACCAUCCUCCGUCCUGCCACUCUCUCUCUCUGCCUCGGACCUGGAACACAAACGGACACCGAAACCUGAAACACUUACCUCCUGGAUUUCCCUUGCCUCCAACUCCGAGUUGACCUCCCUCCCAAGAGCCUGACGAACCCACUGCUUUGCAUUCACUGUAAAUAAACAUCAUUUAACUUUU